UUUAAGGUGUACUUCAGAUGAGGUAUUUUGUCUGACGCUUCUCCACAAGUAUUUUUUGUUGUGUACCAUCACACUUACUCUAUGAUGUAUCAUUAUUUUAAAACUAACUCUGGCUAUUACUUUACAGGAUUAUAUGACCAAUUUAAGAACAAAAACUAGCUAACAUUUUAGUGGAUUCGAAAUUGAAUGUUGAUAAUAUAAGACAUUAAGACUUGAAGAUGACGGAAACAACACUAAUUCCCAAGGAUUGUAUGAUUCUGCAUAGACCCCUAAGAACGGAAACGACAUAUAUCAACAGAGAGUUGGUUAAGUCUUAAUCGACUAAGAUUUAGCAACCCCGAGCACUUGUAGGAAGAACAAAAGGCAAAUGUAAAGACCACAAACAAGCUGCUCGGAAAAAGAGAAGAGAUUAAAAAGUACAAGGACAUCAAAUAGAUGACUAGGGAAGCGGUCACACUACCAGACGUAGUGCGUGUUACAUCAAACAAAAUCCAUGAUUUUACUGGAGCUACCUUGGACCCUACUGCUUCAAUGACUAUAUGAGAAAGGCAUAUGAUCCAGACUCAGAUUCAAGUUGUGUUGAGGGUUAUGCUAACGACAUGGGUGAGAGCAAGACAUUGCAUCUCUGCUAACAUAGCUUGCUUUAUAAAGCCAAUGUAUGCCCGUAUCGACUAAUCUGAGUAUUUUCUUUUAAUCUAUUAAGACCAUGUAAUAUAAUGUAAGUAUCUAUUAAGUUAGUUCUAAAUUAAUCUCA
Long non-coding RNA from Triticum dicoccoides, 754 nucleotides. RefSeq lists it as uncharacterized. The transcript is spliced from 2 exons. The record is from RefSeq and is a predicted model, not a curated record. NCBI's taxonomy places the organism in Eukaryota, Viridiplantae, Streptophyta, Magnoliopsida, Poales, Poaceae.